Molecule: unclassified non-coding RNA, 272 nt
Filed under: Hevea brasiliensis (rubber tree)
Lineage: Eukaryota; Viridiplantae; Streptophyta; Magnoliopsida; Malpighiales; Euphorbiaceae
Source: RNAcentral
GCAAAUGAGAUUGGAUUCUAGAGUGGAUGUAAUCGAUCGAAGGUGGCAAGCCGUUGGGCAAGAAGUGGAAGAAGAAAAGUCCUGCUCAUUAUCAAUCUCAACAACAGCAUUUGAUUCAUCUGCAUCUUGGUCCUUGAGAAGCAAAUUGAGAGUAUCACAAUAAUCUGGGAGAAGCCUCAUGUAAUUCAUCACAUACUUUGUGAGGUGAUGAAUUCGACCUCCAGGGAAAGGGUGUAAAGAUGCAUCAGAUGCAAUGGCAUUCCCAAAUCUCA